RNAcentral lists this ribosomal RNA (2147 nucleotides) under Acinetobacter radioresistens. RNAcentral's name for it is "bacterial LSU rRNA". It matches the Rfam family "Bacterial large subunit ribosomal RNA", at positions 764 to 2893 of the family's 2925-position model. Lineage: Bacteria; Pseudomonadati; Pseudomonadota; Gammaproteobacteria; Moraxellales; Moraxellaceae. The record is from RNAcentral.
AACUGGAGGACCGAACCCACCGUCGUUGAAAAGCCGGGGGAUGACUUGUGGAUAGGGGUGAAAGGCUAAUCAAACUCGGUGAUAGCUGGUUCUCCCCGAAAGCUAUUUAGGUAGCGCCUCGGACGAAUACCAUUGGGGGUAGAGCACUGUUUCGGCUAGGGGGUCAUCCCGACUUACCAAACCGAUGCAAACUCCGAAUACCAAUGAGUACUAUCCGGGAGACAGACUGCGGGUGCUAACGUCCGUAGUCAAGAGGAAAACAAUCCAGACCGCCAGCUAAGGCCCCAAAAUCAUAGUUAAGUGGGAAACGAUGUGGGAAGGCAUAGACAGCUAGGAGGUUGGCUUAGAAGCAGCCACCCUUUAAAGAAAGCGUAAUAGCUCACUAGUCGAGUCGGCCUGCGCGGAAGAUGUAACGGGGCUAAAACUAUGUGCCGAAGCUGCGGAUGCACAUUUAUGUGCGUGGUAGGGGAGCGUUCUGUAAGCCGAUGAAGGUGGAUUGAGAAGUCUGCUGGAGGUAUCAGAAGUGCGAAUGCUGACGUGAGUAACGACAAAACGGGUGAAAAACCCGUUCGCCGAAAGACCAAGGGUUCCAGUCCAACGUUAAUCGGGGCUGGGUGAGUCGACCCCUAAGGCGAGGCCGAAAGGCGUAGUCGAUGGGAAAUUGGUUAAUAUUCCAAUACUUCUGUGUAAUGCGAUGAGAGGACGGAGAAGGUUAGGUCAGCCUGGCGUUGGUUGUCCAGGUGGAAGACAGUAGGCAUGCAUCUUAGGCAAAUCCGGGGUGCUCUAUGCUGAGAGUCGAUAGCAAGCCAGUUUACUGGCGAAGUGGCCGAUACCAUACUUCCAAGAAAAGUCUCUAAGCUUCAGUUACACAGGAAUCGUACCCGAAACCGACACAGGUGGUCAGGUCGAGUAGACCAAGGCGCUUGAGAGAACUCUGCUGAAGGAACUAGGCAAAAUGGUACCGUAACUUCGGGAGAAGGUACGCUGCUGAUGGUGAUAGGACUUGCUCCUUGAGCUGUCGGCAGCCGCAGAAACCAGGCCGCUGCAACUGUUUAUUAAAAACAUAGCACUCUGCAAACACGAAAGUGGACGUAUAGGGUGUGAUGCCUGCCCGGUGCUGGAAGGUUAAUUGAUGGGGUUAGCGUAAGCGAAGCUCUUGAUCGAAGCCCCAGUAAACGGCGGCCGUAACUAUAACGGUCCUAAGGUAGCGAAAUUCCUUGUCGGGUAAGUUCCGACCUGCACGAAUGGCAUAAUGAUGGCGGCGCUGUCUCCAGCAGAGGCUCAGUGAAAUCGAAAUCGCUGUGAAGAUGCAGUGUACCCGCGGCUAGACGGAAAGACCCCGUGAACCUUUACUGCAGCUUGACACUGAACUUUGACCUUACUUGUGUAGGAUAGGUGGGAGGCUUUGAAGUAGGGACGCCAGUUCCUAUGGAGCCAUCCUUGAAAUACCACCCUGGUAAUGUUGAGGUUCUAACUCUGACCCAUAAUCUGGGUCGAGGACCGUGUCUGGUGGGUAGUUUGACUGGGGCGGUCUCCUCCUAAAGAGUAACGGAGGAGUACGAAGGUGCGCUCAGCGUGGUCGGAAAUCACGCGUAGAGUAUAAAGGCAAAAGCGCGCUUAACUGCGAGACCCACAAGUCGAGCAGGUACGAAAGUAGGUCUUAGUGAUCCGGUGGUUCUGUAUGGAAGGGCCAUCGCUCAACGGAUAAAAGGUACUCUGGGGAUAACAGGCUGAUACCGCCCAAGAGUUCAUAUCGACGGCGGUGUUUGGCACCUCGAUGUCGGCUCAUCUCAUCCUGGGGCUGAAGCAGGUCCCAAGGGUAUGGCUGUUCGCCAUUUAAAGAGGUACGCGAGCUGGGUUUAGAACGUCGUGAGACAGUUCGGUCCCUAUCUACCGUGGGCGCUGGAAAUUUGAGAGGAUCUGCUCCUAGUACGAGAGGACCAGAGUGGACGAACCUCUGGUGUACCGGUUGUGACGCCAGUCGCAUCGCCGGGUAGCUAUGUUCGGAAGGGAUAACCGCUGAAAGCAUCUAAGCGGGAAGCCUACCUCAAGAUAAGAUUUCCCCGUGACUUUAUGUCACCUAAAGAGCCGUUCAAGACCAGGACGUUGAUAGGUUGGAUGUGGAAGCAUAGUGAUAUGUGAAGCUG